Molecule: ribosomal RNA, 327 nt
Filed under: uncultured bacterium
Lineage: Bacteria
Description: bacterial SSU rRNA
Rfam family: Bacterial small subunit ribosomal RNA
Source: RNAcentral
GACGAACGCUGGCGGCGGCGCCUAACACAUGCAAGUCGAACGGAGCUUGCUUGGUCAGAUCCUUUCGGGGUGACGACUUGUAAGCUUAGUGGCGAACGGGUGAGUAACACGUGAGUAACCUGCCCCAGAGUGGGGGACAACAGUUGGAAACGACUGCUAAUACCGCAUAAAACUAUCGGGGGGCAUCCCUUGGUAGUCAAAGAUUUAUUGCUGAAAGAUGGGCUCGCGUCUGAUUAGCUGGAUGGCGGGGUAACGGCCCACCAUGGCGACGAUCAGUAGCCGGACUGAGAGGUUGAACGGCCACAUUGGGACUGAGAUACGGCCCAG